UUGAACGCUGGCGGCAGGCCUAACACAUGCAAGUCGAACGGUAACAGGAAGCAGCUUGCUGCUUCGCUGACGAGUGGCGGACGGGUGAGUAAUGUCUGGGAAACUGCCUGAUGGAGGGGGAUAACUACUGGAAACGGUAGCUAAUACCGCAUAACGUCGCAAGACCAAAGAGGGGGAUCUUAGGGCCUCUUGCCAUCGGAUGUGCCCAGAUGGGAUUAGCUAGUAGGUGGGGUAACGGCUCACCUAGGCGACGAUCCCUAGCUGGUCUGAGAGGAUGACCAGCCACACUGGAACUGAGACACGGUCCAGACUCCUACGGGAGGCAGCAGUGGGGAAUAUUGCACAAUGGGCGCAAGCCUGAUGCAGCCAUGCCGCGUGUAUGAAGAAGGCCUUCGGGUUGUAAAGUACUUUCAGCGGGGAGGAAGGGAGUAAAGUUAAUACCUUUGCUCAUUGACGUUACCCGCAGAAGAAGCACCGGCUAACUCCGUG
This 489-nucleotide ribosomal RNA is filed under the name uncultured bacterium. RNAcentral's name for it is "partial 16S ribosomal RNA". It matches the Rfam family "Bacterial small subunit ribosomal RNA", at positions 30 to 507 of the family's 1533-position model. The record is from RNAcentral.